UGCCGCCUGCCCAGUGAAUUAAUUUUUAACGGCCGCGGUAUCCUAACCGUGCAAAGGUAGCGUAAUCACUUGUCCUCUAAUUAAGGACUAGUAUGAACGGCUAAAUGAGGGCCCAACUGUCUCGCACGAUCACCCAAUGAACCUGAUCUCCCAGUACAAAAGCUGGGAUACCCCCACAAGACGAGAAGACCCUGUGGAACUUUCAACCUCCCCGCCGAAUACAACCCAUCCAACCAAUAGGUUGCCAAAUCCACCCUACCAUCAGCAGGAGCUUUAAGUUGGGGCAACUACGGAGCAAAACAAAACCUCCGCGAACCAAUCCCCGAGGCACACCUGCCAAGGGAACAGUACAACCAUCGACCCAGUAAUACUGACCACCGAACCAAGCUACCCCAGGGAUAACAGCGCAAUCCCCUUCAAGAGUUCCUAUCGCCAAGGGGGCUUACGACCUCGAUGUUGGAUCAGGGCCCCCCAGUGGUGCAGCCGCUA
Molecule: ribosomal RNA, 489 nt
Filed under: Ptyodactylus oudrii
Lineage: Eukaryota; Metazoa; Chordata; Lepidosauria; Squamata; Phyllodactylidae
Description: partial 16S ribosomal RNA
Rfam family: Archaeal large subunit ribosomal RNA
Source: RNAcentral